UAGCUCAAUCAGUUGAGCAUGGUGCUAACAAUGCCAAGGUCGUGGGUUCGAUUCCCAU
RNAcentral lists this transfer RNA (58 nucleotides) under Apaloderma vittatum (bar-tailed trogon). It matches the Rfam family "tRNA", at positions 8 to 63 of the family's 71-position model. Rfam says of the family: Transfer RNA (tRNA) molecules are approximately 80 nucleotides in length. Their secondary structure includes four short double-helical elements and three loops (D, anti-codon, and T loops). Lineage: Eukaryota; Metazoa; Chordata; Aves; Trogoniformes; Trogonidae. The record is from Rfam by way of RNAcentral.